AAAUUGAAGAGUUUGAUCAUGGCUCAGAUUGAACGCUGGCGGCAGGCCUAACACAUGCAAGUCGAACGGUAACAGGAAGAAGCUUGCUUCUUUGCUGACGAGUGGCGGACGGGUGAGUAAUGUCUGGGAAACUGCCUGAUGGAGGGGGAUAACUACUGGAAACGGUAGCUAAUACCACAUAACGUCGCAAGACCAAAGAGGGGGACCUUCGGGCCUCUUGCCAUCGGAUGUGCCCAGAUGGGAUUAGCUAGUAGGUGGGGUAACGGCUCACCUAGGCGACGAUCCCUAGCUGGUCUGAGAGGAUGACCAGCCACACUGGAACUGAGACACGGUCCAGACUCCUACGGGAGGCAGCAGUGGGGAAUAUUGCACAAUGGGCGCAAGCCUGAUGCAGCCAUGCCGCGUGUAUGAAGAAGGCCUUCGGGUUGUAAAGUACUUUCAGCGGGGAGGAAGGGAGUAAAGUUAAUA
RNAcentral lists this ribosomal RNA (468 nucleotides) under Escherichia coli. Its description in RNAcentral is "bacterial SSU rRNA". It matches the Rfam family "Bacterial small subunit ribosomal RNA", at positions 1 to 465 of the family's 1533-position model. Lineage: Bacteria; Pseudomonadati; Pseudomonadota; Gammaproteobacteria; Enterobacterales; Enterobacteriaceae. The record is from RNAcentral.